AACCUUCCCAUAGGUUUUGGAUUGUUGAGUGUUUGAUGUCAUUUGCUUCUAGAUAUUUUUUAAUUUCCCAUUUGAUUUCUUCAGUGAUCCAUUGGUUGUUUAGUAGUAGCAUGUUGUUUAGUCUUCAUGUGUUUGUUUUUUGCAGUUUUUUCUUGUUGUUGAUUUCUAGCCUUAUAGUAUGGUCAGAAAAGAUGCUUGAUAUGAUUGCAAUUUUUAAAAAAAUUACAGAGGCUCGAUUUGUGGCCCAGUAUAUGAUCUGUUCUAGAGAAUGUUCCAUUUGUGCUUGAGGAGAAUGUGUAUUCUGCUGCUUUGGGGUGGAAUAUUCUGUAAAUAUCUAUUAAGUUCAUCUGGUCUAAUGCAUCAUUUAAGGCCUGUGUUUCCUUGUUGAUUAUCUGUCUGAAUGAUCUGUCCAUUGCUAUAAAUGGAGUGUUUGUUGUAAAGCUGGUUUAGUGGUGCUGAAUUCUCUUAAUCUUUUGCUUAUGUGUAAAGCUUUUGACUUAUCUUUCAAAUCUGAAUGAGAACCUUGCUAUGUAGCCUUAAUUGGAGGAUUUUUCCUUUCAUCACUUUAAGUAUAUCAUGCGACUGCCUUCUGGGCUGUAGUUUGUCAACUGAAAAAUCAGUGACAACCUAAUGGGCUUUCCUUGUAUGUUUGUUGCUUUUCCCUUGAUGCUUUCAUAUUUUCUCUCUUAAUUUUGGUCAAUCUGAUUACUCUGUGUGUCUGGGUGUUCCUCCUUGGGUUUAUUUUGUGUGGUAUUCAUUUGUUUCCUGGAUUUGAGUGAGUGAUUCCUUUCCCAUGUUAGGGAAUUUUUAAGCUACUAUUUCUUCAAAUAGUUUCUCUAGCCUUUUCUAUCUUCUCCUCUGCAUCUCUAUAAAAUUUUUUUACUGAAUUUUGGAUCUCUACUUGUUUUGUCUUUAAAUCUUUGUUCAACAUAUCUUCUGUCAAUCCCUGCCUCCAUUUUUUUCUCCCUAGAUCUUAGCUCAUCUUGACUAUUAUUAUUCUAAAGGCUUUUUCAUGGAGGCUGCUAAUCUCCAGUUCACUUUGCUGUUUUUCUGAGCUGUUGUCUAAUUCCUUCAUCUGGUUUAUAUUCCUCUGCCCUUUCAUUUUGUAUAGCUUUUCGUCUGGACUAUUUUUGCAGGCUAGAGGGUUGUAGCCUUUCUUGCUUCUGCUGUCUGCCCCUGUGGGGGAAGUUGAUACAGGGGCUUGUUACGGGCUUGUUACAGGCUUGUAGUUGAGAGGGACUGGUUCCUGACCACUGGUGGGUAGUGCUGAGUCUUGUCACUCUUAUGGGUGGGGCUUUGUCUCUGGGUGUGAUUAGAGGCAGCUCUGUGCCUAAGGGGACUUUAAGUAGUCUGUUUGCUGAUGGGUGGGGCUGUGUUC
Molecule: long non-coding RNA, 1378 nt
Filed under: Sus scrofa (pig)
Lineage: Eukaryota; Metazoa; Chordata; Mammalia; Artiodactyla; Suidae
Description: lncRNA (ENSSSCG00045010337.1, ENSSSCG00180018353.1)
Source: RNAcentral